RNAcentral lists this ribosomal RNA (402 nucleotides) under uncultured bacterium. RNAcentral describes it as "bacterial SSU rRNA". It matches the Rfam family "Bacterial small subunit ribosomal RNA", at positions 88 to 507 of the family's 1533-position model. The record is from RNAcentral.
AAAGCGAGUGGCGACGGGUGAGUAACGCGUGGAUAACCUGCCAUAUACUGGGGGAUAACAGCUGGAAACAGCUGCUAAUACCGCAUAAAAACUGUAGAGUCGCAUGACUUUAUAGCCAAAGCUCCGGCGGUGUAUGAUGGAUCCGCGUCUGAUUAGGCAGUUGGCGGGGUAACGGCCCACCAAACCGACGAUCAGUAGCCGACCUGANAGGGUGACCGGCCACAUUGGGACUGAGACACGGCCCAGACUCCUACGGGAGGCAGCAGUGGGGGAAUAUUGCACAAUGGAGGAAACUCUGAUGCAGCGACGCCGCGUGAGCGAUGAAGUAUUUCGGUAUGUAAAGCUCUAUCAGCAGGGAAGAUAAUGACGGUACCUGACUAAGAAGCUCCGGCUAAAUACGUG